RNAcentral lists this ribosomal RNA (254 nucleotides) under uncultured bacterium. RNAcentral's name for it is "partial 16S ribosomal RNA". It matches the Rfam family "Bacterial small subunit ribosomal RNA", at positions 524 to 776 of the family's 1533-position model. The record is from RNAcentral.
UACAGAGGUCCCAAGCGUUGUUCGGAAUCACUGGGCGUAAAGGGCGCGUAGGCGGCCUUGCAAGUCGGUUGGUGAAAGCCCGGGGCUCAACCCCGGAGGUGCGGCCGAGACUGCAGGGCUGGAGGCCGGAAGAGGAGGGUGGAAUACCCAGUGUAGAGGUGAAAUUCGUAGAUAUUGGGUGGAACACCGGUGGCGAAAGCGGCUCUCUGGUCCGGACCUGACGCUGAUGCGCGAAAGCUAGGGGAGCAAACAGG